GUGAGUGCGGGGCGCGGCGGGUCGGGGCGGGUGGGAAGGGCCGGUGCUGCCACCUGCCGCACGGCCCCGGCGGGCGGGUAGGGGGGAAGGGGAGGCUGCGGGGAACGCGGCCCGGCCGCAUCUCUGUCCCCCUCGCAGGCGGCGGCUCGGGAGGAAGCCCAGAGCGGGACGGGCGGGCGACGGCUCGGCCGCACGGCGGGGCAGGAAGGCUUUCGGGAGGCUGAAGCACCACCACCGCCGCGAUUACCACCUCUCGGCCCUCUCCAGCUCGGUGUUCCCGGGGGCGUUCGCGGGCUGCAAUAACGCGGCCUUCCAAAGGUGCCAGCAAGGGCUGCGGGCUGGAUGGUGGAUGGUGGCGGGGAGCCAGCAGCUCUAACAGCUUCCACAGAUCCCCUUCAGAAGAGCAUGCCACCUGCAGCAGACACUCAGUAGAAGCCACACCACAAGAAGGAAAAGCCUUUCAUUCCCACAUAACAAGCAAAGCUGCAGAAAGCACGGGACAAACAAGACCAUCACUGCAGGCUGCAGCGAUGCACAUUUUAGAUAUCUUUUGCUGACUGUAAUAACCCAUGCCCAGAAAGAUGCCGAUUUGGAAAUGCCAUAACACAAAGUUAGCAUUUGCAAUAAAAAUAUGACAGAGUACUUUUUCCUCACUGAGAAAAAUGUCCACUUGAAGCAAGCAUUUUUAUAUGACUAUGAUAUAUUAAAA
RNAcentral lists this long non-coding RNA (709 nucleotides) under Gallus gallus (chicken). Its description in RNAcentral is "lncRNA (ENSGALG00010013835.1)". Lineage: Eukaryota; Metazoa; Chordata; Aves; Galliformes; Phasianidae. The record is from RNAcentral.